Molecule: non-coding RNA, 72 nt
Organism: Phrynosoma platyrhinos (Desert horned lizard)
Lineage: Eukaryota; Metazoa; Chordata; Lepidosauria; Squamata; Phrynosomatidae
Source: the annotation of a GenBank genome assembly
GCCAGCAUGGUGUAGUGGUUUGUGCAUUGGACUAGGACUCUGGAGACCAGGGUUCAAUUCCCAGCUCAGCUA